RNAcentral lists this ribosomal RNA (497 nucleotides) under uncultured bacterium. RNAcentral describes it as "partial 16S ribosomal RNA". It matches the Rfam family "Bacterial small subunit ribosomal RNA", at positions 28 to 507 of the family's 1533-position model. The record is from RNAcentral.
GAUGAACGCUGGCGGCGUGCCUAACACAUGCAAGUCGAGCGAACAGACGAGGAGUUUGUUCCUCUGACGUUAGCGGCGGACGGGUGAGUAACACGUGGAUAACCUACCUAUAAGACUGGGAUAACUUCGGGAAACCGGAGCCAAUACCGGAUAAUAUAUUGAACCGCAUGGUUCAAUAGUGAAAGACGGUUUUGCUGUCACUUAUAGAUGGAUCCGCGCCGCAUUAGCUAGUUGGUGAGGUAACGGCUUACUAAGGCAACGAUGCGUAGCCGACCUGAGAGGGUGAUCGUCGACACUGGAACUGGGACACGGUCCAGACUCCUACGGGAGGCAGCAGUAGGGGAUCUUCCGCAAUGGGCGAGAGCCUGACGGAGCAGCGGCGCGUGAGUGAUGGAGAUCUUCGGAUCGUAGUUCUCUGUUAUUAGGGAAGAACAGGUGUGUAAGUGGCUAUACACGUCUUGACGGUACCUGAUCAAGAAGCCCCGGCUAACUACGUG